UGUUGAGUCACAACUUGCUUCUCGCCACUGUGUUUGGCGGUUCGAGGCUUUCCAAGAUAAGCGCAAGAUAACCAGUUUCCCCAGAGCUGUCUUUGGCAUGUGUUACGUUCAUAGGCACGCUCGACAAAAAUAUAGACGUAGUUUAUACAAUGCUCCAAAAAAAACAACACUUGGUGUCAAUACGCCCUUUCUGAUACAGCCGUUUAUAUUCAAACCAUAUAACCGAAAUGUGGCGAAUUGUAAUUUCAUCCUGUAUACAGAGGAAAAUUUUAAAUCUCAGUGUGUGUUGACACCGCUCAUAGCAACAGUUAGCUUAUGUCGCUAGCUUAGCAACAGCGUUACCCGUGUGUUUGCGCAUGCGUGCGAGCUCCCAGCAUGCCCCCUCCCUUCCGCGUGUUUGCCUUUAAAAUGAUUGGUCGACAAGCAGGAAGUAACCGCCAUGCACGGCUUGACAGCGCCUCCACGCAAUUGAUGGCCAUUGUCUUUGUGUCCUCUCCCCACCCCCGCUGCUGCCUCUCAGUGGACGGGGAGCCUGACGCCGCGAGCUCGGCCUGCCUCCAGGUUGCAGUCCCGGGACACCGAAGCCCGACUCCCACUUUCACGCGUGAGCCGAAGAAAUCGCACGAUGUGGAGGAUGACGAGAAGGAAAAGUAAAAGAUUGAUCUCCAUCGGAACGAGCAGAGUGAGGAGGAGGGCGAUGGGCUUUGGAAUUGGGACGCUUGUCAAUAUUGCGGCGUGGGUCACGUUCGCGCCCCCCGACGGCAUUUGCGCGCAAACAGCGCUCCCUCCCGAGUGCGCCCCAGGGGGCCACGGGCUCCUGCAGAACCCUCACCGCAGCACCACCUUCAGCUCCAGCCGGCUGCAGCAGUCGUCGCUGCGGGAUUUCGUCUGUGACCAUUCCCUGGCACGUGGCUGGUACCGGUUCCAGAUUUUCGACAAGCCGGCCAGCAUGCCCACCCGGUGUGUGGAGGUCAACCACUGCGGGACUCAGGCUCCGGUGUGGCUGUCUCUGGGGGAAGGCGAGUCCCUGCCGGGCCCUCUGGAAAUCCGCCACCUGACCGCCUGCGCCGCCUGGCAGUCGUACCCGAGCGGGAGCAAGGAAUGCUGCCUGUUCCGCAUCCCCGUGUCCGUGCGCAACUGCGGGGACUUCUACGUUUACUUGCUGCAGCCCACUCAGGGAUGCAUGGGCUACUGUGCACAAGAAAUGGCAGACACGCCUUCUCCGACGUCGCUUCCCUGCAACAUGGACGGAACGUGUACACAAAUCAAGGAGCCUUCCGCUCCAUCAGUACCCACGAUCGCCGCCAAGUGGACGGAUGAUGACGUACAUCUGAAGUGCAGCUUCUCCACGGACAAAUCUGGCGGCUCCCUCGGCCACGUGGUGGCCUGGUCCCGAGCCUCCCCUCAGGGCAACCGGGAGGAACUUAAGCAGGAGACCACCAUACAGACGUGGGCCCUCAUCGAGCUGGAUGGCUUCAACCUCCGUCUGGGAGACAAGAUUUACUGCUCAGUGUACAGUUUCUUCCUGGACUCUCCGGACAUCCGCGGUGCUUCUGUGGAAAGCCAGGAGUUCUUUGCAGGGAUUCGGCUGAGACCCGAGGUGAGCGUCGUUUCCGAGGACGGGAAGCAGUACGAGCUGGCGGUCGAGAGCACCGUUCCCGUUCCGUGUCUGGAACAGUCGUCGUCGUCGACUUCGCCGUCGGGCCAAUGCGCCGUCUCCUUGACGUUCAGCACUCACAGCCAAGACGAAGCGGUGCUGGGCUCCGACGUGUCCCUGUCCUCGUGCUCUGUGAACUUGACCGGGACACCGUGCCAGGACGGAGUAUGCGGCCGAGCUGUGGUCCAUUUCACCGCCAUCACCGACGUCGUCAGAGACGGCAAUCGAACCACUAACAUCUCCGUCCGGCCCCUUGUCACUAGGAAUUUUGUGUGGAACGGUUACGCACCGGAACCUGUUCAGCUCAAAGUGCAGGACGUGCCUUCAGCGUAUUGUUACUCCUUCACCGACCCUCACAUCGUCACAUUUGACGGCAGGCGUUACGACAACUACCAGGUGGGCACGUUCGUGCUGUACAGGAGUGCUCGCUGGCCAUUUGAGGUCCACGUGCGGCAGCGGGAGUGCGGGGGUAGCGGGGCGGCCCCCACCGCGUGCGCCUGCGGCGUGGCAGCCCGGGACGGCGACGACGUGGUCACCUUGGAUAUGUGUAACGGCGACACGGGCCAAACCAAACCUCGCCUCGCUGUGAAGACGCGGGACCUCAGCAAGAGCGGCGUGCGCGCCCACGAGGCCUAUCAGGGGCGCAAAGUCACCCUGACCUUCCCAUCCGGAGCCUUGGUACGCGCCGACGUGGCCGACUGGGGUCUGAGUCUGACGCUGAGAGCCCCCGGUUCAGACAGGGGUCACACCGAGGGCCUGUGCGGCACCUACGACGGACAACCCGACAAUGACUUGCGGCUCUCUAUGGAAACAAGUGGGGAGGAUCUGCAGGCUUUUAUCUCUCAUUGGAGGCUUCGUCCAAGAAGCAGCCUGUUCGAUGAAGUACGACCAAAAUCAUUGUCGCCUCCGAAUGGACUCAGUUCCCACAAAUUCUGUGACUGUACAUUAUCGCCUCGGAGCGGAACGCUCCCCGAAGCCUCGACGGACGGCGGCUGUUCUCGUCACAGUAACGUGCGCUUCCCCGCUGUCAUCCCCUCUCUGGAUGUCACGGCCGAGUACAUCAGUUCGGUGGAGUUGCUUGCUGGGGAAGAAGGAGCAGUGCUCCCUAAAGGGAUCCUGGAGAAAUUCGCCUACUUUUUCCCCGAAGACCAUAAACCUGACACCGGCUUAGACCUCGAUCUUACGUGGCCGACGCCUUCCGGGUUGACGGAAAGUGAGGCACGAAACCAGUGUCGGGCCGCCAUCACCAACUCCAGCCUGGCCCGGAAUUGCGGAGGGAUGCUGGGAACCGACGUGGUGGGCGGAGCGGUGGAAAUGUGUGUCGGCGAUCUGAGACGGAAGGACGAGCGGUCGUGGCUGGAGGCCGCUCUGCCCCUGCUGGAGAACGAGUGUGAGAGACGGCUGGUGGAGGAAGGUCCGCUGGCGGCGCUCCGCCGUGAUCGCGGGGACCGCGUGGACGCCGUGGCUAUACUCAAGUGUCCCAAUCUGUGCAACGGAAAUGGCCAGUGCUUAGACUGGGGAUGUGUCUGCUUCCCCGGCUUUGGAUCCUACGACUGCAGCGUCUUGUCUGACCACACUCCGGAGAUCACGGAUCUGGAGACGGGGGGUCUGUGUGACGUCCGGGGCGGCGACUGCUCCAACGUCCACGUCUCCGGCCUGGGCUUCGAGGACGGCCCCAAGAUCACGUGUGAGUUUGUGAAAGAAAAGUUGGUGGCAAGCGAGUGGGUUGUGGCUGAGCCUCGGUUGGUCCCUGCCACCUUUGUGAACGCGACGGCUAUUGAGUGUCGGCUCCCCCUGGAAGUUGCUCAGCCCACUGCAGGCUUCGACUCGAAUGAAACGUCAACAAAGCGGCCGUUCUUGGCUCGCUGGCAGGUCAAAGUGUCCAACGACGGUUACAGCUUCAGUAACGCUAAAGUCUUGACCGUGUACGACGGAGCGUGUCAUGUGUGCGGCCUCCACACCGACCCCAUCUGCACGUUCAGGGAGAAGACGUGCAGCAUCGACGGCGUCUGUUACGACCAAGGGCGGUCGCACCCCUUCAAGCCUUGCCUCGCCUGUCGGCCGCACGCCUCCCGGCACGCUUGGACCCCACACCGUAAAAAUGAGCCCCCCUUGCUGGCGUCGCUUCCCCCGCAAGGUCUGCGCUCCUUCCAGGGGGAGGACUUUCUCUACCAAUUACGGGCCCGGGACCCCGAGGGCUCGGCGGUGGUCUUUGCACUUCGCUCGGGUCCCGAUGGCGCCUCGUUGUCUCCGUCCGGUCUCAUCCGGUGGAAGGUGACGUCCGACCACACCCACACACGCCCUUUCAACUUUAGCGUGACAGACGACUGCCUCGCCGAGACCCUCGCUUCCCUUCAUGUGUCGGUGCGUCCGUGCGAGUGCACGAACGGCGGCUCGUGCAUGAGCGCCGUCAACGUGCCCGCCGGCAGCGGUGAGUACAGCUGUGCCUGUCCCGAUGGGUUCAGAGGUCAGCGGUGCGAGGUGGACGUGGACGACUGCAAGCCCAACCCUUGCAGGCUGGGACGCUGCGUGGAUGGACCGAACUCCUUCACCUGUGUUUGCCCGCCCGGAACGACAGGCAGAACUUGUCGAGAGGACCUGGACGAGUGCUCCUCUGGGCCGUGCUUCCCCGGGGUGGACUGCGCCAACACGCCGGGCUCCUUCUCUUGUGGACCCUGCCCGAGGGGAUACGCCGGUGACGGCGCCGUUUGCAUUCCCCUGAGAGCAACGGUGACGCCGGCGAGAGUGGCGCCCAUUCCCCCGAGGUCCCGAGCCCCCCCCCCGUCACCCUCGCCCUGCUCACGGGGGCCGUGUCACCCUGGCGUGCACUGCUUCCAAAGCCCCUACGUGGCGGCGGGCUACGUCUGCGGGCCCUGCCCACCUGGUUUCCACGGCAACGGGACGACUUGCACCCUAUCAAGUGAACAAAUUCCCAACACCAGACUGAAUCCUGUCUGGCAACCGACGCCCACCAGCUUUUCCUCACCGCCAUCGUCCCCCACCUGGCCCAGACAGCACCUCGACAGAAGCAGGAAACCAGGCGCCACCGUUUCCCACGCGCGGGGAGCUUCUUCUUCCUCCUUGGAGAGAAAUCCAGGACAAUGCCCACAUGGAUACGCUGGUGAUGGAGUCACGUGUAAAGCCGCGUGCAGGUUUCAGUGCGGGAGGAAUAUGGAGUGCACGCAGCCCAACACGUGCACCUGCAAGGACGGAUACACCGGAUUUGACUGUCACAUAGCUGUGUGCCGGCCGGACUGCAAGAACCAGGGCAGAUGCGUGCGUCCUAACGUGUGCGAAUGCCCCCUGGGGUACGGCGGGCCCACCUGCGAGGAAGCAAGCUGCGAGCCGCCGUGCCAACACGGAGGCACGUGUCUGGCGAGGAACCUUUGCACCUGCUCCUACGGCUACGUGGGACCGAGAUGUCAAAUCAUGGUGUGUAACAGGCACUGCGAAAAUGGCGGCGAGUGUGUUUCUCCCGACGUGUGCAAAUGCAAACCGGGCUGGAAUGGACCUACUUGCAACUCGGCUGAGUGCAGUCCGGUCUGUCUGAAUGGAGGAACGUGCAUCAAACCAAACUUUUGUGCUUGUCCCCCCGGAUUCUACGGCUCUCAGUGUCAAAUUGACAACUUCCGCCAUUUCUUCACUUUCUUACCGCACUCACCGUUGCUCUGGAUUGUUGACCAGUCUAACCUCAUCUGUCAGCCUGUCCAUUACCACAGCAAACAGGAAGGGGCUUAGCGCUGAUCCCUGAUGCCGUCACACCUGCGGCACAUCUCACCACUGUUCUGCUGCCCUCAUACAUGUCCUGUACUAUUCUAACAUACUUCUCUACCACCCCAGACUUCCAAAUCCAGUACCCCAGUUCCUCUCUUGGUACUCUGUCAUCGGCUUUCUCUAGAUCUUGUGGCUCCCAUGUAUAUAUACAUAUAAUAUUACAACAGUAUUGUCCAAUAAUAUGGGCUUUUCCUGGCCUUAAUUCAUCUUCUCAAAUUUCACAUUGCUGUGACUUUUUUCUUAAUGAAACGACAACUUUAUUUUCACCAAAAUUCCCAAUUUGUAUUAUUACUAUGGUACUAAUGGUUAAAUGUACAGAACGUGUGUGUGUGUGGGGGGGGGGGGGUUAGCUGUGUGCAGCCCCCCUUGUAAGAACGGAGGUCAGUGCAGGAGGAACAACGUGUGUUCAUGUCCCGAAGGCUACACAGGGGAACGAUGUGAAAAGAGCGUGUGCGAGCCGGCAUGUAUGAACAGCGGGAAAUGUGUGGGAGCCAAC
Molecule: RNA transcript, 5927 nt
Organism: Syngnathoides biaculeatus (alligator pipefish)
Lineage: Eukaryota; Metazoa; Chordata; Actinopteri; Syngnathiformes; Syngnathidae
Gene: vwde
Gene name: von Willebrand factor D and EGF domains
Exons: 29
Source: RefSeq, a predicted model, not a curated record